Micropterus salmoides (largemouth bass) is the source of this 569-nucleotide long non-coding RNA. RefSeq lists it as uncharacterized. The record is from RefSeq and is a predicted model, not a curated record. The transcript has 2 exons. NCBI's taxonomy places the organism in Eukaryota, Metazoa, Chordata, Actinopteri, Centrarchiformes, Centrarchidae.
GUGAAGCAGCCACUGAGGUUACACAACAUUAAAAUCCACGAUAUUUUUCUGCAGUAUGUCCACUGUUGAUGUCAUGACCGCAUUUGAUUACAGUGAUUACCCGCGGAACAUUUUUAUUUACAGAUGCUUCAUAUAUGUCUCGGCUUACUUCAUCUCCCACCAGCGCUCCAUCCAUUCAUCCUUGCUGAUGUUCCCUGCAAACACCUGCCACCUCCAUUCCUCCAGCAUGUAGGUGAAUGGCAGCGUGGCCACGAUGGCUGUGGGGUGACAGACCACCUUGCGUCCAUCCUCAGGCUUAACCAGCAUGGAGUCCUUCCAGAAGUUUGGGAACAUCUCAUAAAGGCCCACAGACAUGAAGAAUUUCUCUGCUUCUUUGAAAAGCCGAAUCUCAUCCCAGCCCUGAAAUUCAAGUCGACAUUUUGAAGACGGUCUAUGUUCCAAUGUAGGAUUUUAAUGUUUGCAUGCACUAUAUUACAAACAUGUUUUAAAUAUCUAAUAUAUGUUAUAUGCUGUAUUGUCAUCAGUAUUGUUUCAAUACCACAAUCAACGGGUAUGAUUAAAUGUUUGAU